RNAcentral lists this ribosomal RNA (2906 nucleotides) under Providencia sp. 21OH12SH02B-Prov. RNAcentral's name for it is "23S ribosomal RNA". It matches the Rfam family "Bacterial large subunit ribosomal RNA". The record is from RNAcentral. Lineage: Bacteria; Pseudomonadati; Pseudomonadota; Gammaproteobacteria; Enterobacterales; Morganellaceae.
GGUUAAGCGACUAAGCGUACACGGUGGAUGCCUAGGCAAUCAGAGGCGAUGAAGGACGUGCUAAUCUGCGAAAAGCGUCGGUAAGGUGAUAUGAACCGCUAUAGCCGACGAUGUCCGAAUGGGGAAACCCAGUGCAAUUCGUUGCACUAUCGUUUGAUGAAUCCAUAGUCAAACGAGGCGAACCGAGGGAACUGAAACAUCUCAGUACCUCGAGGAAAAGAAAUCAACCGAGAUUCCCCUGGUAGCGGCGAGCGAACGGGGAGCAGCCCAGAGUCUUAAUCAGCAUCAGCAUCAGGAGAACGGUCUGGAAAGUCCGGCAGUAAAGGGUGAUAGCCCCGUAUCCGAAGGUGUUGGUGUUGUGAACUCGACGAGUAGGGCGGGACACGUGUUAUCCUGUCUGAAUAUGGGGGGACCAUCCUCCAAGGCUAAAUACUCCUGAUUGACCGAUAGUGAACCAGUACCGUGAGGGAAAGGCGAAAAGAACCCCGGCGAGGGGAGUGAAAUAGAACCUGAAACCGUGUACGUACAAGCAGUGGGAGCACCUUUUAGGUGUGACUGCGUACCUUUUGUAUAAUGGGUCAGCGACUUAUAUUCUGUAGCAAGGUUAACCGUAUAGGGGAGCCGUAGGGAAACCGAGUCUUAACUGGGCGAAUAAGUUGCAGGGUAUAGACCCGAAACCCGGUGAUCUAGCCAUGGGCAGGUUGAAGGUUGGGUAACACUAACUGGAGGACCGAACCGACUAAUGUUGAAAAAUUAGCGGAUGACUUGUGGCUGGGGGUGAAAGGCCAAUCAAACCGGGAGAUAGCUGGUUCUCCCCGAAAGCUAUUUAGGUAGCGCCUCGUGAACUCAUCUUCGGGGGUAGAGCACUGUUUCGGCUAGGGGGUCAUCCCGACUUACCAACCCGAUGCAAACUACGAAUACCGAAGAAUGUUAUCACGGGAGACACACGGCGGGUGCUAACGUUCGUCGUGAAGAGGGAAACAACCCAGACCGCCAGCUAAGGUCCCAAAGUUAUGGUUAAGUGGGAAACGAAGUGGGAAGGCUCAGACAGCCAGGAUGUUGGCUUAGAAGCAGCCAUCAUUUAAAGAAAGCGUAAUAGCUCACUGGUCGAGUCGGCCUGCGCGGAAGAUGUAACGGGGCUAAACCAUGCACCGAAGCUGCGGCAGCGACAUUUAGAUGUUGUUGGGUAGGGGAGCGUUCUGUAAGCCUGUGAAGGUGUGCUGUGAGGCAUGCUGGAGGUAUCAGAAGUGCGAAUGCUGACAUAAGUAACGAUAAUGCGGGUGAAAAACCCGCACGCCGGAAGACCAAGGGUUCCUGUCCAACGUUAAUCGGGGCAGGGUGAGUCGACCCCUAAGGCGAGGCAGAAAUGCGUAGUCGAUGGGAAACAGGUUAAUAUUCCUGUACUGGUGAUAAUUGCGAUGGGGGGACGGAGAAGGCUAGGCUGGCCGGGCGACGGUUGUCCCGGUUUAAGGAUGUAGGCAGGUGAAUUAGGCAAAUCCGGUUCACUACAUGCUGAGGUCUGAUGACGAGUCACUACGGUGGCGAAGUAGCUCAUGCCCCGCUUCCAGGAAAAGCCUCUAAGCUCUAGAUUAUCAUUAAUCGUACCCCAAACCGACACAGGUGGUCAGGUAGAGAAUACUCAGGCGCUUGAGAGAACUCGGGUGAAGGAACUAGGCAAAAUGGUGCCGUAACUUCGGGAGAAGGCACGCUGGCGCUAGGUGAAGUCCCUCGCGGAUGGAGCUGAAGCCAGUCGCAGAUACCAGCUGGCUGCAACUGUUUAUUAAAAACACAGCACUGUGCAAACACGAAAGUGGACGUAUACGGUGUGACGCCUGCCCGGUGCUGGAAGGUUAAUUGAUGGGGUUAUCCGUAAGGAGAAGCUCUUGAUCGAAGCCCCAGUAAACGGCGGCCGUAACUAUAACGGUCCUAAGGUAGCGAAAUUCCUUGUCGGGUAAGUUCCGACCUGCACGAAUGGCGUAAUGAUGGCCAGGCUGUCUCCACCCGAGACUCAGUGAAAUUGAACUCGCUGUGAAGAUGCAGUGUACCCGCGGCAAGACGGAAAGACCCCGUGAACCUUUACUAUAGCUUGACACUGAACAUUGAGCCUUGAUGUGUAGGAUAGGUGGGAGGCUUUGAAGUGUGGACGCCAGUCUGCAUGGAGCCAACCUUGAAAUACCACCCUUUAAUGUUUGAUGUUCUAACGUGGCCCCAUCAUCUGGGGUGCGGACAGUGUCUGGUGGGUAGUUUGACUGGGGCGGUCUCCUCCCAAAGAGUAACGGAGGAGCACGAAGGUUGGCUAAGCAUGGUCGGACAUCAUGCGGUUAGUGCAAAGGCAUAAGCCAGCUUGACUGCGAGAGUGACGGCUCGAGCAGGUACGAAAGUAGGUCUUAGUGAUCCGGUGGUUCUGAAUGGAAGGGCCAUCGCUCAACGGAUAAAAGGUACUCCGGGGAUAACAGGCUGAUACCGCCCAAGAGUUCAUAUCGACGGCGGUGUUUGGCACCUCGAUGUCGGCUCAUCACAUCCUGGGGCUGAAGUAGGUCCCAAGGGUAUGGCUGUUCGCCAUUUAAAGUGGUACGCGAGCUGGGUUUAGAACGUCGUGAGACAGUUCGGUCCCUAUCUGCCGUGGGCGUUGGAAGAUUGAAAGGGGCUGCUCCUAGUACGAGAGGACCGGAGUGGACGCACCACUGGUGUUCGGGUUGUCAUGCCAAUGGCACUGCCCGGUAGCUAAGUGCGGAAGAGAUAACCGCUGAAAGCAUCUAAGCGGGAAACUUGCCUUGAGAUGAGUCUUCCCUGACUCUUUAAGGGUCCUAAAGGAACGUUUAAGACUAAGACGUUGAUAGGCUGGGUGUGUAAGCGUAGCGAUACGUUGAGCUAACCAGUACUAAUGAACCGUGAGGCUUAACCUG